This 1343-nucleotide ribosomal RNA is filed under the name uncultured crenarchaeote. RNAcentral's name for it is "bacterial SSU rRNA". It matches the Rfam family "Archaeal small subunit ribosomal RNA", at positions 1 to 1280 of the family's 1478-position model. The record is from RNAcentral. Lineage: Archaea; Thermoproteati; Thermoproteota.
UUCCGGUUGAUCCCGCCGGACCUGACUGCUAUCGGAUUGGUACUAAGCCAUGCGAGUCGUUGUAGCAAUACAAGGCGGACGGCUCAGUAACACGUAGUCAACCUAACCUAUGGACGUGGAUAACCUCGGGAAACUGAGAAUAAACCGCGAUAGAUCAUAAUGCCUGGAAUGGCUUAUGGUUCAAAUAAUUUAUUGCCGUAGGAUGGGACUGCGGCCUAUCAGCUUGUUGGUGAGGUAAUGGCCCACCAAGGCUAUAACAGGUACGGGCUCUGAGAGGAGAAGCCCGGAGAUGGGUACUGAGACACGGACCCAGGCCCUAUGGGGCGCAGCAGGCGAGAAACCUUAGCAAUGUGCGAAAGCACGACUAGGUUAAUCCGAGUGAUUUCUGUUGAAGAAAUCUUUUGUCAGUCGUAAAACCACAGACGAAUAAGGGGUGGGCAAGUCUGGUGUCAGCCGCCGCGGUAAUACCAGCACCUCGAGUGGUCAGGAGGUUUAUUGGGCCUAAAGCAUCCGUAGCCGGCUAUGCAAGUCUCCGGUUAAAUCCAACUGCUCAACAGAUGGGCCGCCGGAGAUACUACACAGCUAGGGAGCGGGAGAGGUAGACGGUAUUCUGUGGGUAAGGGGGUAAAAUCCACUGAUCCAUAGAGGACCACCAGUGGCGAAGGCGGUCUACCAGAACGCGUUCGACGGUGAGGGAUGAAAGCUGGGGGAGCAAACCGGAUUAGAUACCCGGGUAGUCCCAGCUGUAAACGAUGCAAACUCGGUGAUGCAUUGACUUAUGGUCAAUGCAGUGCCGCAGGGAAGCCGUUAAGUUUGCCGCCUGGGAAGUACGGACGCAAGUCUGAAACUUAAAGGAAUUGGCGGGGGAGCACCACAAGGGGUGAAGCCUGCGGUUCAAUUGGAGUCAACGCCAGGAAUCUUACCUAAUAUGGAAUCCCUAGUAACCGCGCGUCACAACCGCGCAGUGAAUACGUCCCUGCUCCUUGCACACACCGGGGAGACAGCAGAAUGAAGGUCAAGCUGAAGACUUUACCAGACAAGCUGAGAGGAGGUGCAUGGCCGUCGCCAGCUCGUGCCGUGAGGUGUCCUGUUAAGUCAGGUAACGAGCGAGAUCCCUGCCCUUAGUUGCUACAGUUACUCUCAGGAGUAGCUGGGCUAACUAGGGGGACCGCCACUGCUGAAGUGGAGGAAGGAGGGGGCCACGGCAGGUCAGUAUGCCCCGAAACCCUAGGGCUACACGCGGGCUGCAAUGGUAGUGACAACGGGUUCCGAACUCGAAAGAGAGAGGCAAUCCCUAAACGCUACCACAGUUAUGAUUGAGGGCUGCAACUCGCCCUCAUGGC